UGAGCAACAGGCUGAGGAUACCUCAAACAUCGAGUCUGAUCCUGAGACGGGCCCAGGCAAGAGGACACGCCGGACACCAGAAUGUUUCUGAACUCGAGAGACAGACCAUGAAUCAGUAGAUGCCAAUGGUGAUGUUGAAGAUGAUGAGCUACCAACACCAAGGAAGAGAAUGAAAGAGGACUAUGUUGUGCCCAUGCCCAAUCCUCCCACUUUUGAAGGGGCAACCACUUCUUCACGCCGCUCAUCUGCCAACAGGAUCAGGCAGAGCACAUCGGGGUCACAGAGGACCAGGCAGUCGUGCUCACCAACCCCCCUGAGGCAGAGCACAUCAGGGACCAGGCAAUCACGCUCAACAAUCCCCCCGAGGCAGAACGCAUCAGGGACUAGGCAGUCUCGCUCAACAACCCCCCCGAGGCAGAGC
Molecule: long non-coding RNA, 421 nt
Organism: Neoarius graeffei (lesser salmon catfish)
Lineage: Eukaryota; Metazoa; Chordata; Actinopteri; Siluriformes; Ariidae
Exons: 3
Source: RefSeq, a predicted model, not a curated record